Pleuronectes platessa (European plaice) is the source of this 464-nucleotide long non-coding RNA. RefSeq lists it as uncharacterized. Lineage: Eukaryota; Metazoa; Chordata; Actinopteri; Pleuronectiformes; Pleuronectidae. The record is from RefSeq and is a predicted model, not a curated record. The transcript has 3 exons.
UGUUCCUGUUCACACCACAGCUGCUGAGAAACACUGUGGUUUUCUGCUGAUGUAUCUCUUCUGCUGCACUCAGCGAACGUGAAAACGUGAAUGUUUGAGCUGUUUCUGUUCAGCUUUUCUCUAAAGUCUUUCUCUAAUGAGUACGACAGCCUCUACUUAGGGAAGUGUUGUGACUGCAGGGCUCGACAACACAACUCUUUCUGCUACACUUGUAUCUGGACUGAAAGCAUGUCCCAUCUCAAUGCUCAUUACCACGCACAACAGACUUCUGCAAGAGACCCUGCUCCAUUUGACUCCUCAGAAUGGGAGCACACACACACAGAGGCCCCUGGGCCCUGCCACUACUCACUCAAACAGCGACACUCCGAUGAGAGGAGCGGAGCCCAUUAACGUGAAGCAGCCGCUGCUGCACUCUCUGUUGAUGACGAUAAUGCACACAUGGAUUUGCAGAGAGAGUUACCCAC